This 264-nucleotide ribosomal RNA is filed under the name Vibrio crassostreae ZF-91. RNAcentral describes it as "partial 16S ribosomal RNA". It matches the Rfam family "Bacterial small subunit ribosomal RNA", at positions 87 to 354 of the family's 1533-position model. The record is from RNAcentral. Lineage: Bacteria; Pseudomonadati; Pseudomonadota; Gammaproteobacteria; Vibrionales; Vibrionaceae.
GGCGUCGAGCGGCGGACGGGUGAGUAAUGCCUAGGAAAUUGCCUUGAUGUGGGGGAUAACCAUUGGAAACGAUGGCUAAUACCGCAUAAUGCCUACGGGCCAAAGAGGGGGACCUUCGGGCCUCUCGCGUCAAGAUAUGCCUAGGUGGGAUUAGCUAGUUGGUGAGGUAAUGGCUCACCAAGGCGACGAUCCCUAGCUGGUCUGAGAGGAUGAUCAGCCACACUGGAACUGAGACACGGUCCAGACUCCUACGGGAGGCAGCAG